This 253-nucleotide ribosomal RNA is filed under the name uncultured bacterium. RNAcentral's name for it is "partial 16S ribosomal RNA". It matches the Rfam family "Bacterial small subunit ribosomal RNA", at positions 524 to 776 of the family's 1533-position model. The record is from RNAcentral.
UACGGGGGGGGCAAGCGUUGUUCGGAAUUACUGGGCGUAAAGGGCGCGUAGGCGGCCUGCUAAGUCGAACGUGAAAUCCCUGGGCUCAACCCAGGAACUGCGUCCGAUACUGGAAGGCUUGAAUCUGGGAGAGGGAUGCGGAAUUCCAGGUGUAGCGGUGGAAUGCGUAGAGAUCCGGAGGAACACCAGCGGCGAAGGCGGCAUCCUGGACUGGUCCUGACGCUCAGGAGCGAAAGCGUGGGGAGCGAUCCGG